GAGUUUGAUCAUGGCUCAGAUUGAACGCUGGCGGCAGGCCUAACACAUGCAAGUCGAGCGGUAGAGAGAAGCUUGCUUCUCUUGAGAGCGGCGGACGGGUGAGUAAUGCCUAGGAAUCUGCCUGGUAGUGGGGGAUAACGUUCGGAAACGGACGCUAAUACCGCAUACGUCCUACGGGAGAAAGCAGGGGACCUUCGGGCCUUGCGCUAUCAGAUGAGCCUAGGUCGGAUUAGCUAGUUGGUGAGGUAAUGGCUCACCAAGGCGACGAUCCGUAACUGGUCUGAGAGGAUGAUCAGUCACACUGGAACUGAGACACGGUCCAGACUCCUACGGGAGGCAGCAGUGGGGAAUAUUGGACAAUGGGCGAAAGCCUGAUCCAGCCAUGCCGCGUGUGUGAAGAAGGUCUUCGGAUUGUAAAGCACUUUAAGUUGGAGGAAGGGCAGUUACCUAAUACGUGAUUGUUUUGACGUUACCGACAGAAUAAGCACCGGCUAACUCUGUGCCAGCC
RNAcentral lists this ribosomal RNA (508 nucleotides) under bacterium enrichment culture clone ALO1_GLFRUDD03F10QQ. RNAcentral's name for it is "bacterial SSU rRNA". It matches the Rfam family "Bacterial small subunit ribosomal RNA", at positions 9 to 513 of the family's 1533-position model. The record is from RNAcentral.